CAUGCAGNGGGAACCCGACGGGACUCGAUCCCGGGCCUCCAGGAUCACACCCUGGGCUGAAGGCAGCACCAAAACGCUGAGCCACCCGGGCUGCCCUGAGGUUCAAUUUUUAUCUGUAAAACGUGUGUAACUAAAAUGUAGCCAAGCCUUCCUUGGGCAGCUCAGAUCUGACCUCACCACAUAACGUUGCACUAAAAAAAAGAAGAAGAAAACCCAUAAAUCGGAGUAUUACAGAAUAAUCUACUGUGUUCCUUUGAAAUCAGAACAUGUUUUCAAAUGAUGGGUAUUUGUCAUAUUUCUUUCUUCUUUCUUUCUUUCUUUCUUUCUUUCUUUCUUUCUUUCUUUCUUCUUUCUUUCUUUCUUCUUUCUUCUUUCUUUCUUUCUUUCUUCUUUCUUUCUUUCUUUUCUUCCUCCCUCCUUCCCUCCCUCCUUCCCUCCCUUCUUGCCUUCCUGCCUUCCUUUUGGCUGGCACAGAGAAUAAUGAUGUACUCCACCAUUGAUUAUAUCUUACAGGCAGUGGUGUCUUAGAUUUAAAUGAAAUAUGGCAGUGUCUUUUUUUCUAAGAGUUUAUUUAUAUAUUUGAGAGAGAAAGAGCACAAGCUGGCAGAGGGGGNCCCUCCUUCCCUCCCUUCUUGCCUUCCUGCCUUCCUUUUGGCUGGCGCAGAAAAUAAUGAUGUACUCCACCAUUGAUUAUAUCUUACAGGCAGCGGUGUUUUAGAUUUAAAUGAAAUAUGGCAGUGUCUUUUUUUCCUAAGAGUUUAUUUAUAUAUUUGAGAGAGAAAGAGCACAAGCUGGCAGAGGGGGGCAGAGAGGGAGGAAGAAACAGACUCCCCGCUAAGCAGGGAACCCAACUUGAGGUUCCAUCCCAGGAUCUGAGCCGAAGGCAGAUGCUUAACCGACUGAGCCACCCAGGCGCCCAGCAUGUGGCAGAGUCAGUAUUGAGGCUUUCUUGGAGCUCUGAAGGGCCCUUCUCCACACAUGUCCAAAGGAAAAGAAAAGCACAGAACACAUCCUGAGUCUCCACGAAGUGAUUAAUGAGCUAAAAUUCACUUUUGAUUCAAGAAGGUCCUGAAUUGCUAGCUCCUCAUUGGUCUCCACAUGGGGCACACCAUCUUGUCACUCUCCACCCGCGUUCCCUCCCAGACCCCCAGGACAACAAGACACCUAGGUCAAGAAAGAAAGAGACAGAGAAAAUACAUUCUAUUCUUCUCCAUCUGACUAAGGCUUGACACUGGGAGUGACCUCACUGUCUUUGAGAAUCCUGGUCUCACCUUUACAGGUCUCAGCAGGACACCUCUAUCUUUGUAUGACUAGCGGGUGAUAGCACCAACUGUUGUGCAUGGAAUAAAUGCUCCUAUGUUGGUGGCA
RNAcentral lists this long non-coding RNA (1368 nucleotides) under Vulpes vulpes (red fox). Its description in RNAcentral is "lncRNA (ENSVVUG00000012080.1)". The record is from RNAcentral. Lineage: Eukaryota; Metazoa; Chordata; Mammalia; Carnivora; Canidae.